Molecule: ribosomal RNA, 489 nt
Filed under: uncultured organism
Description: SSU rRNA
Rfam family: Bacterial small subunit ribosomal RNA
Source: RNAcentral
AGGAUGAACGCUGGCGGCGUGCCUAACACAUGCAAGUCGAACGAAGCACUUCUGAUUGGAGAUUCGUACGAAGAUUGGAUUUGACUUAGUGGCGGACGGGUGAGUAAUGUAUGAGCAACCUGCCUUUCAGAGGGGGACAACAGUUGGAAACGACUGCUAAUACCGCAUAAUGUAUCGAGAGGGCAUCCCUUUGAUACCAAAGGAGCAAUCCGCUGAAAGAUGGGCUCAUAUCUGAUUAGUUAGUUGGUGGGGUAACGGCCUACCAAGACUGCGAUCAGUAGCCGGACUGAGAGGUUGAACGGCCACAUUGGGACUGAGAUACGGCCCAGACUCCUACGGGAGGCAGCAGUGGGGAAUAUUGGGCAAUGGGCGAAAGCCUGACCCAGCAACGCCGCGUGAAGGAAGAAGGUCUUCGGAUUGUAAACUUCUUUUAUGAGGGACGAAGGACGUGACGGUACCUCAUGAAUAAGCCACGGCUAACUACGUGCC